RNAcentral lists this ribosomal RNA (242 nucleotides) under uncultured bacterium. RNAcentral's name for it is "partial 16S ribosomal RNA". It matches the Rfam family "Bacterial small subunit ribosomal RNA", at positions 335 to 569 of the family's 1533-position model. The record is from RNAcentral.
AUGCCUACGGGGCGCAGCAGUAGGGAAUCUUCCACAAUGGGCGAAAGCCUGAUGGAGCAACGCCGCGUUUUUUCCUCCUUUCUUCUUCUCUUCACCCCCUUUUUUUAUAUCAUAAAUUUCUUUAGAGUAACUGUUCACGUUUCGACGGUAUCUAACCAGAAAGCCACGGCUAACUACGUGCCAGCAGCCGCGGUAAUACGUAGGUGGCAAGCGUUAUCCGGAUUUAUUUGGCGUAAAUCUAA